UGCCAGCCGCCGCGGUAAUACGAAGGGACCUAGCGUAGUUCGGAAUUACUGGGCUUAAAGAGUUCGUAGGUGGUUGAAAAAGUUAGUGGUGAAAUCCCAGAGCUUAACUCUGGAACUGCCAUCAAAACUUUUUAGCUAAAGUAUGAUAGAGGAAAGCAGAAUUUCUAGUGUAGAGGUGAAAUUCGUAGAUAUUAGAAAGAAUACCGAUUGCGAAGGCAGCUUUCUGGAUCAUUACUGACACUGAGGAACGAAAGCAUGGGUAGCGAAGAGGAUUAGAUA
Molecule: ribosomal RNA, 279 nt
Filed under: uncultured bacterium
Lineage: Bacteria
Description: partial 16S ribosomal RNA
Rfam family: Bacterial small subunit ribosomal RNA
Source: RNAcentral